CCUACGGGAGGCAGCAGUGGGGAAUAUUUCACAAUGGGGGAAACCCUGAUGCAGCGACACCGCGUGAGUGCAGAAGUAUUUCGGUAUGUCAAGCUCUAUCAUCAGGUAAGAAGCAAGACGGUACCUGACUAAUAAGCCCCGGCUAACUACGUACCAGCCGCCUCGGUAAUACGUCGGGGUCACGCGUUAUCCGGAUUUACUGGGUGUAAAGGGAGCGUAGACGGUAUGGCAAGUCUGAAGUGAAAGCCCAGGGCUUAACCCUUGGACUGCUUUGGAAACUGUUAGACUAGAGUGCUGGAGAGGUAAGUGGAAUGCCUAGUGUAGCGGUGAAAUGCGUAGAUAGUAGGAGGAACACCAGGGGCGAAGGCGGCUUACUGGACAGUAACUGACGUUGAGGCUCGAAAGCGUGGGGAGCAAACAGGAUUAGAUACCCUUGUAGUC
Molecule: ribosomal RNA, 441 nt
Filed under: uncultured bacterium
Lineage: Bacteria
Description: partial 16S ribosomal RNA
Rfam family: Bacterial small subunit ribosomal RNA
Source: RNAcentral